GGUAGUUCUGCAAGUGU
This 17-nucleotide unclassified non-coding RNA is filed under the name Mus musculus (house mouse). Its description in RNAcentral is "oocyte_clustered_small_RNA12687". Lineage: Eukaryota; Metazoa; Chordata; Mammalia; Rodentia; Muridae. The record is from RNAcentral.